RNAcentral lists this ribosomal RNA (564 nucleotides) under Triticum aestivum (bread wheat). RNAcentral's name for it is "partial small subunit ribosomal RNA". The record is from RNAcentral. Lineage: Eukaryota; Viridiplantae; Streptophyta; Magnoliopsida; Poales; Poaceae.
AUGGAUGAGGACAAGGACAAGGAAUAUGAGGAGCAGAAUCUGUUUGUGGUUCUGCCAUUGCAAGCAGGUGCUGAUAUGUCGGAUGAUGAUACAUCAGAUGGGUAUAAGGAAUCAGCAGAUGAACUAGAAGGUGACACUAUGUCUGAGGAAUCACUUGUGCAUGUUGUCUCUAGUGAGGAGGAGGCAAGAGAAAGGAAAAGGAAAAAGAACAAGAGGCCAAGAGCCAAUGCUCCUGUUAGGACGUCAUCCAAUGUUUGGGCCCAUUUUCACAAGGUCAAGGAGCCAUGUGAGAAGAGUGGAGAGAUUGCGUUGAAGGUUGUUUGUAAUUAUUGUAUCGAUAAGAAGUAUGCAUAUACGCAAGGUGGCAACACCUCGACUAUUGGAAGGCAUCAUUUAAAAUGUAAGAAUUACAAGUCCAAGAUGGCUAGGGAUGCCAUCCAAACAACUCUUGAAUUGCACAAAAUCAAUGGUACAGGAAGUGGUCCAACAAUGCACCCCUCUAUUGAGUACAACCAACGAAUCGUCAAGGAGCUUAUUGCUAAGAUGAUAUGCGUGCAUGAGUAG